UGGAAUCGCUAGUAAUCGCGGAUCAGAAUGCCGCGGUGAAUACGUUCCCGGGUCUUGUACACACCGCCCGUCACACCAUGGGAGUCGGAAAUGCCCGAAGUCUGUGACCCAACCGUAAGGAGGGAGCAGCCGAAGGCAGGUCGGAUGACUGGGGUGAAGUCGUAACAAGGUACC
Molecule: ribosomal RNA, 174 nt
Filed under: uncultured bacterium
Lineage: Bacteria
Description: partial 16S ribosomal RNA
Rfam family: Bacterial small subunit ribosomal RNA
Source: RNAcentral